Long non-coding RNA from Rosa chinensis, 1259 nucleotides. RefSeq lists it as uncharacterized. The record is from RefSeq and is a predicted model, not a curated record. NCBI's taxonomy places the organism in Eukaryota, Viridiplantae, Streptophyta, Magnoliopsida, Rosales, Rosaceae. The transcript has 3 exons.
UCUUCUAUUCUACUCUCUCUCUCCCUCUCGACGAAGCCAACAGCCUCCAUGUAAUACCCCGAAAAAUCUAAAUUAUUUUCCGAGGACAUUUUAGAAUGAUUUCGUAGUCAUGGAAGGAAGUAUGAAGCUUUGAGGAGUUGUGGAUUUAGCUCGAACAAUUUUAUUUCGAAAUCGUACGUAUUUAGGGGCGUCUCAAAAAGUGACUUUUUAUACGUACCGAAUUUGGGAAAAUUUACUUCAUGAAAGUUGUAGAGCUCAUCGAUACGAUCGCGUGCAUAUGCGGAACACAAAAAUCGGAGCUCGUAUGAAUUAGUUAUGAUUUUUCGAAAUAAUUUCCAGUUUAGUCCAAAAAGAAUUGGCCGGCCUUCCAUUUCGGGAAGCCCCCCCCCCCCAUUCUCUCUCUUCCUCCCGCGUCCGUACCGGUCGAAAACAGGGACAAAAUUCAUCCGGCCAUUUCUUCCUCCUCCGGCCACCAAAUCACUCCAAACUUCUUCCAUCGUGUUCGCCUCUUUCUUUCGCAGCCAUCUGUGGCAACCUUGCACGGCGGCGAGGGCUGUAGCGGCGGUGGUGAGCUCGUUCCGAUUUGAGUUCGAUUUUAGUCACCGCCGGUUUUCUCCUUAGCUCCGGCGGUAGUGAACUCGCCUCAACCUGCUGAUCAUCAUAGAAGGAUUUCACCUGGAGUGACCGGUUUCACGUUUGUCGGAGCUCGGUCGGUUUUCGAUCCGAAACCAAAAUCUUUCGAUCGGGAUAUCUCGAGUUUUAGUGCAUCGUUUUGAUUUAUUCUUGAUCCAGUGGGUUCUCCUUGAUGUUAUUAACAACUCUCUAGAAGGAAUCGAGGCCUGAAAUUGAAUUUUUUACGUCGAAAAUCGAGCUCGCCGGUUUCUGCAUUUCUUCGCCGGUUUCUGGAACUUUUCCGGCCACCUUCAUACUGUUCAAGGUGAUUGACGGUCUUCCUUGGUGAGUGGUUUUGGUGUGUUUUGUGAAAUUGAAGACGCAGCAGGAUUAGAGUACACUAUUCAACUUGUGUAGCGGGUAAUCCUGCAGGUUAGGAGAAUCAGGGCGUGAUCGUGCGGGUUAGAGUAAUUGUUAUAGUUUUACAGUGAUUGUAAUAGUAAGGUGAGUUAAGCUCAAUUGAGCCUUACAAUUUGAUUUGAUGAGAGUGUGCUGUAAUAAUUAACUGGAGAAAUUGGUUUAUUGUAUUAUUGAGAGGUGUGAAGUGUGGUUGUUUUGAGAAAAAAAUUUAGGAUGUUUAUUUGUAA